This 450-nucleotide ribosomal RNA is filed under the name uncultured bacterium. RNAcentral's name for it is "partial 16S ribosomal RNA". It matches the Rfam family "Bacterial small subunit ribosomal RNA", at positions 338 to 795 of the family's 1533-position model. The record is from RNAcentral.
CCUACGGGGGGCAGCAGUCGAGAAUCUUUCACAAUGGGGGCAACCCUGAUGGAGCGACGCCGCGUGGAGGAUAAGGUCUUCGGAUUGUAAACUCCUGUCAUGCGAGAACAAGGUUGCAGGGCUAACACCUUUGCAAAUUGAUGGUACCGCAAGAGGAAGAGACGGCUAACUCUGUGCCAGCAGCCGCGGUAAUACAGAGGUGUCAUGCCUUGUUCGGAAGCGCGGGGAGUUGAGGUGGUAAGUGAGAUGUGAAAGCCCGGGGCUCAACCUCGGAAUUGCAUCCGAUACUGCCAUGCUGGAGUACUGAAGAGGUGACUAGAAUUCUAGGUGUAGCAGUGAAAUGCGUAGAUAUCUAGAGGAAUACCAACGGCGAAGGCAGGUCACUGGGCAGUUACUGACACUGAGGCACGAAGGCCAGGGGAGCAAACGGGAUUAGAUACCCUAGUAGUC